Molecule: ribosomal RNA, 262 nt
Filed under: uncultured bacterium
Lineage: Bacteria
Description: partial 16S ribosomal RNA
Rfam family: Bacterial small subunit ribosomal RNA
Source: RNAcentral
UAGUGGCGGACGGGUGAGUAACGCGUGAGUAACCUGCCUUAUACGAGGGGGAUAACACUUAGAAAUAGGUGCUAAUACCGCAUAAGCGCACGGGGCUGCAUGGCCCAGUGUGAAAAACUCCGGUGGUAUAAGAUGGACCCGCGUCUGAUUAGCUUGUUGGCGGGGUAACGGCCCACCAAGGCGACGAUCAGUAGCCGGCCUGAGAGGGUGGACGGCCACAUUGGGACUGAGACACGGCCCAAACUCCUACGGGAGGCAGCAG